RNAcentral lists this unclassified non-coding RNA (392 nucleotides) under soil metagenome. Its description in RNAcentral is "partial contains 5.8S ribosomal RNA, internal transcribed spacer 2, and large subunit ribosomal RNA". The stretch from base 1 to 122 matches the Rfam family "5.8S ribosomal RNA", at positions 35 to 154 of the family's 154-position model. The record is from RNAcentral.
GAUGAAGAACGUAGCGAAAUGCGAUACUUGGUGUGAAUUGCAGAAUCCCGUGAACCAUCGAGUCUUUGAACGCAAGUUGCGCCCGAAGCCAUCAGGUUGAGGGCACGUCUGCCUGGGCGUCACAUAUCGUUGCUCGAUGCCUAUCGCAUUGCGAUAGGACUUAGGGCGAAUGAUGGCUUCCCGUGAGCGUUGUUGCCUCGCGGUUGGUUGAAAAUCGAGUCCUUGGUAGGGUGUGCCAUGAUAGAUGGUGGUCGAGUUAGAACGAGACCGAUCAUGUGCAUGCUCCCCAAAAUAUGGCCUCUGUGACCCACACGCGUCUUUUGACGCUCAUGACGAGACCUCAGGUCAGGCGGGUCUACCCGCUGAAUUUAAGCAUAUCAAUAAGCGGAGGA